RNAcentral lists this ribosomal RNA (476 nucleotides) under uncultured organism. Its description in RNAcentral is "partial 16S ribosomal RNA". It matches the Rfam family "Bacterial small subunit ribosomal RNA", at positions 331 to 798 of the family's 1533-position model. The record is from RNAcentral.
GUACACUCCUGCGGGAGGCAGCAGUGGGGAAUAUUGCACAAUGGGCGCAAGCCUGAUGCAGCCAUGCCGCGUGUAUGAAGAAGGCCUUCGGGUUGUAAAGUACUUUCAGCGGGGAGGAAGGCAAUACGGUUAAUAACCGUGUUGAUUGACGUUACCCGCAGAAGAAGCACCGGCUAACUCCGUGCCAGCAGCCGCGGUAAUACGGAGGGUGCAAGCGUUAAUCGGAAUUACUGGGCGUAAAGCGCACGCAGGCGGUCUGUCAAGUCGGAUGUGAAAUCCCCGGGCUCAACCUGGGAACUGCAUUCGAAACUGGCAGGCUUGAGUCUUGUAGAGGGGGGUAGAAUUCCAGGUGUAGCGGUGAAAUGCGUAGAGAUCUGGAGGAAUACCGGUGGCGAAGGCGGCCCCCUGGACAAAGACUGACGCUCAGGUGCGAAAGCGUGGGGAGCAAACAGGAUUAGAUACCCCUGUAGUCCCAU